This is a long non-coding RNA of Meleagris gallopavo (turkey), 3772 nucleotides long. NCBI's taxonomy places the organism in Eukaryota, Metazoa, Chordata, Aves, Galliformes, Phasianidae. The record is from Ensembl.
AUGAGGACAGAGUGCAGACACCCAUCUGUGCCAACUAGAGGAUGCAUCUCCCUUUGUUCUCUUGCUGCAGUCAGCUUCUAUAGCAUUGACAUGAACUUUUCGCUCUUCUACACAACUGAGAGAGCUCCUGAUUACUAUGAUGCAAGGAAGCUUAUAGAAAACUGGUUUAGUGUCAUAUUUGCAGGUGAAGAACUAGUUGUGACGGACUUUAAAAUCAGGGUUAACUCUCCACAAAGCAAUGUGUACAAGAGGACCCGUGUAUGUAACUUGUUAUUUUCUGGUUUAAAAACAUAACUUUUCUUACCUUUGCACUGAGGAUAUUGUAGUUACACGGUCUAAAUGCUAAUCCUACUGUGUUCUGUAGAAAGCAUUAAAUGUAAUGUACUCCAUGUAAAUCAAUGGACUGGAGAGUCACUGUGUCUGAACAGACAUUGGAAUGCUCUCUGUAAGAUGAAGGCAGGACAUGCCCAGCACUCUUUGCAAUCAGUCUGCUUUGGAAGACCCUUUGGGUGAGCGCAGUGACUGAGCAAUGUUAGAUAUGGAUCUACUCUGCUCUCCACAUGAAUCAGUGUCCAUGCACUGGGAGUUUCUGUUUUGUCUCCGUAUGUCCCAGAAGCACUCUGAAACAAAGGCCACUCUAGAUAGUCAUUUAAGACAUUAGGCUCUAUUUUAAUGAACACCUGGGGUUUCUGCUGUUCCAAUCACCCUUGCACCAGCUGAUUCUAACCAGCUUUUAACUUUCUGUGUCCUAUCCAAACCGAAGAUGAAGACAAAGCAGAUGUCACAAAGGUAAGACUUGUGUUUAUAAACUGGAUUUUUCUAGUUCCCACUGAUUUAAUAAGAAAAUCCUGCUUCCUGCUAUGAACCUGAUCAUAAAUACAGAUCACACAUCAGAUAUUUUAGUUUCAGGGUAGAGUGGGGAACCUUUAUUUGCAUAAACCAGAAAAACACGUGUAGAUUCAGAAUCAGUAAUGCUUAAGUCAGAGAAAUGUAUCUGAGCAUCCAAGGUUUUCCUCUUAUGGCCCAUAUCCUGGGGAUCUUGCCAUACUUCCAUAGCAAGCUGGGAGGUUUGUGCUGUGCUGUUGGCUGUGAUCAGUGCCCCUCAUCGAAACCGGAACAGAGAGUGGCAGACUGCAUUGCUAGACCGUGCCCAGGAGGUCUGCCAGGAUGAAUCCUGCACUUCUUCUGCAGGAAAUCCUAAUUGCCUUCUGACUUCAGGGCAGGAGAGCAGAGGGAGCUGAGUUCCCAUCAGCUUCAAAGGGUUGUAAAUGGUUACCCCAAGGGCCAUGCUGAGUGGGAAACAACUGUGUAGGAACAGGAGCGGGUUGGAAACACUUGAAAGCUCCCACUCCUUUGUUCUUUCUGCUGUGUCUGAAGCCACUCAAAAGAAAGGGAUGGUCUUUCCAAACCUCCUUGAGUCAGCAAACAUAGUUGUUUUGAAGAGAAAACACUGGAAUCCAGUGGAGAGCAGUUGGUUAAAUCUGUGCCUUUCAGGGAGCCUUGGUGUCUGCUGCCUCUGUUUGGGCACAGAGUACUGAAGGACCUCAUUGUUUUAUGACUAGCUCACUCUGGACUUUAAAACACAGUUCAAGAAUGCUUACUUUCACAGAGAUUUUCCUUCGCUAAGAUAACAUGAUUAGGAAACCUUUUGAGGCAAUUCCAUGAAACUAUUAAUAGGUUCUUGUACCUGCAUUCCCAGUAAUUGGUACUUCAUAAUGCAUUUCAAGUGAUAAGGUGCUCAUGUAGAUAAAAGUGGUAUUUGGUGACAUUUGCUGUAGGAUUGCACUUGUAGUGAAUAAAAUGCAUACAUCGAUUAUUCAAUUCAAUAUAAGUUUGUGUGUUACUCUCUAUUUUUGCAGCCAGUAACAUUAUAAGGUAUAAUAAUGGAAUGUUUUUAAUAUCAUAGCAUUGAUUGUGUAUGUUGUCUCUGUAGCUAUGUUUGUAAAGCCAUUAUGAAGGUCACAUCACAUGAAACACAAGAAGUGCUGAGUCUCAAGAUAAAACAGUUGCUGAAUGACACUUUCCAAGUCGGACCGCUGUCAUUAGAUGUGGAACCCGAAGAUGUGGCUGUCAGGCUAAUAGGUGAUACUUCAUUAAAACCUCAUUUUGACUGCAGGUUUUUAAUCAAACUGAGGCUCUGUGGAGAGGUUAGGACUGGAAAACAUCCCUACAAGUAUCCCUGCAGGAUCCCAUCUGAUGCACAAGUUAUAGAAAGCAAUGCAAAGACAUCUUGCAAUUAAACCAAACCUACCACAGACAUUCUCUUAGUGCUGGUGCUGAUUGGAUUGAGUCUCAAAUUGCAAGCGAUCUUUUUGGUUUGGUAACAACCUUUAUCAGUCCUUAAAAUACAGAAGAAAGCCAGAGAUAAGAGAUAACAGACUGUACCUGAAAUUCAAAAACACGUUUUGUAUCAAAGACUUAAAAGGUCAAGUACAAAACUUCAAGCUUGGAGGAAAAGACAUGGAUGGGAUAACGAGGGGCAGUGUGAAAGCAGCUUCAGAUAGAUGAGAGAAGCCUGCAGGAUGGAUUGCUGUUAAAAUAUGAUUUGUGAUGCUGUGAAGCUAACACUUUACCUGAGAACUGACCUUGUCAAACAAAAGCAGAAAAAGGUUUCAGAACAGGCCAAAUACCUGGGGAAAAUGCUUUCUUACAGUCAGUAAUCUUGUAAAAUACUCCCAUACAGCUCACAAAAGAUGUGAAAACAACAGCUCAGUGCCAGCAGAAACAGAAGUUGAGGGCUGAACAGCUGUGUCAAGGAAGUCUGCUUUCUGACUAUCAAAUCUUUUUAAAGAUCUUUUAUGUCUUUCAUCCUCAGUAUUACUGGAUUGCCCAGAAAAUGUUUCACAGACCAAAUACAAGGGCAGCUAUUUCUGGCCUCAAACAAGUCCGGCUGCCACAGCAGAGGUCAGCUGCAGGAAAAACCCUCUGCAGUCUGCUUGGAGGAAGUGGUGAGUGACCAGAACAUCUCAUUUUGGUUCUUGAAUGGCAAAGGAGGAGGAGGGAGUGCAAGGCUUUGUGUGAUGGAGUCCAAAUGGAUGUCUGCAGUGGCGCACAGCAGUGCCAUGCCAGGAAGGAUGGCUAACUGAGUACAGACUGCAGGAAAAGGGAGUACUGUGUAAUUCCCAUCACCUGCAGCAAGUGCAAGCCAGCCUAGCAAGAAACUGACUGUCUGCUUGAGCUGGGAGGGGAAACAGAUGAACUGUAGCAUUUGUGCCAUCCACUCAUGGCACUGUGCCCACCACUGGCAGAAUAUCACUCCUUCCAGGUGCAUUUCAAAUCACUUUGGCUUUUGGACUCAGUUCCCACUGUGCUAAAUGAAUGCUAAGUCAGGUCUGACUUGCAAUUAAUUUUCACAAUCAGGCUAAUUGGUGAAGUAUUGACACAAGGUGCCCGGGGAGGUGGUGGAGUCACUAUCCCUGCAGGUGUUCAAGAAAAGGAUAGAUGACACACUGAGUGAUGUGGUAGAGUGGUCACAGGCAUUGAGUCAUAAAACCAUAGAAUCAUUAAGGUUGGAAAAGACCUCUAAGAUCAUCUAGUCCAACUAUCCUCCUACCACCAAUGUUGCCCACUAUUCCAUGUCCCUCAGUACUACAUCCACCCUGUCCUUAAACACCUCCAGGAGCAGUGACCCACCAUUCCCUGGGCAGCCUGUGACAGUGCAUCACUACUUCUUCUCAUAAGAAAUGCUUCCUAAUAUCCAGCCUGACAAUCUACUAUUCUAGUAAGCUGAUGGUUAGACUUAGUGACCUUACUGGUUUCAACCUUAAUGAUU